RNAcentral lists this ribosomal RNA (301 nucleotides) under uncultured bacterium. RNAcentral describes it as "partial 16S ribosomal RNA". It matches the Rfam family "Bacterial small subunit ribosomal RNA", at positions 509 to 807 of the family's 1533-position model. The record is from RNAcentral.
CAGUAGCCGCGGUAAUACGUAGGUGGCAAGCGUUGUCCGGAAUUAUUGGGCGUAAAGGGCUCGCAGGCGGUUUCUUAAGUCUGAUGUGAAAGCCCCCGGCUCAACCGGGGAGGGUCAUUGGAAACUGGGAAACUUGAGUGCAGAAGAGGAAAGUGGAAUUCCACGUGUAGCGGUGAAAUGCGUAGAGAUGUGGAGGAACACCAGUGGCGAAGGCGACUCUCUGGUCUGUAACUGACGCUGAGGAGCGAAAGCGUGGGGAGCGAACAGGAUUAGAUACCCGGGUAGUCCCUGUCUCUUAUAC